GGAGAAGGCCCUCCGAAGUCGGUUUUCAGGAACAGGCUUCAAACCACCUUAAGCUGCUGUUAUUAAGAGUAAUGGUAGUGAGCAUUAAGGAAAAGUCGAGAUAAAACUCGGAAGGU
This is a non-coding RNA of Neochlamydia sp. EPS4, 116 nucleotides long. The record is from Rfam. NCBI's taxonomy places the organism in Bacteria, Pseudomonadati, Chlamydiota, Chlamydiia, Parachlamydiales, Parachlamydiaceae.